GAUGAACGCUGGCGGCGUGCCUAAUACAUGCAAGUCGAGCGAACAGACGAGGAGCUUGCUCCUCUGACGUUAGCGGCGGACGGGUGAGUAACACGUGGAUAACCUACCUAUAAGACUGGGAUAACUUCGGGAAACCGGAGCUAAUACCGGAUAACAUGUUGAACCGCAUGGUUCAACAGUGAAAGACGGUCUUGCUGUCGCUUAUAGAUGGAUCCGCGCCGCAUUAGCUAGUUGGUAAGGUAACGGCUUACCAAGGCAACGAUGCGUAGCCGACCUGAGAGGGUGAGCGGCCACACUGGAACUGAGACACGGUCCAGACUCCUACGGGAGGCAGCAGUAGGGAAUCUUCCGCAAUGGGCGAAAGCCUGACGGAGCAACGCCGCGUGAGUGAAGAAGGUCUUCGGAUCGUAAAACUCUGUUAUUAGGGAAGAACAAAUGUGUAAGUAACUAUGCACGUCUUGACGGUACCUAAUCAGAAAGCCACGGCUAACUACGUG
Molecule: ribosomal RNA, 497 nt
Filed under: uncultured bacterium
Lineage: Bacteria
Description: partial 16S ribosomal RNA
Rfam family: Bacterial small subunit ribosomal RNA
Source: RNAcentral